Molecule: long non-coding RNA, 1203 nt
Filed under: Volvox carteri
Lineage: Eukaryota; Viridiplantae; Chlorophyta; Chlorophyceae; Chlamydomonadales; Volvocaceae
Description: long non-coding RNA (VCAR_LNC004163)
Source: RNAcentral
GGAUGAUCCUACGGACUUUGUUGUAUCUAGUUUAACGAGUAGUUGUAUCUAGUUUAACGAGUAGCUCGUUUCCUGAAGGGGGGGGGGGACAAAGCUAUUCGACCUUAAGCGAGAUCUUCCAACCCUACUACGUUAUAAGCUACUAGUUUAACUACGUUGUAGUACUACACAAGCUAGGUUGUUCACUACUUACAGCUCGUCNCCUUCGGGGAAGCGCUGUUAAAAUAGUAUCUCAUGUUCACGCUGUGUGGUAGCAAUAACUCACAGCGCAAUGCCUGUGUGGUAAGGCCUAGUUUCUUAAGUUCCUUACGUUAGAAAACUUAGUUACAACGUAUUUGUAAAGUAAGCCAUUCUGCAUGGAUAAGCUACUUUGUUUAUUUUUAACCAAUUUUUGUGCUAAUAGAACUAUUUUUGUGAAGUCGUUUAUGGUUUAUUUACCUCAAGCGCAAAGUGCCCCCAAUAUUUGUUACCUUGUUUAAAGCGCUCUUGAGAAAUGAACUCCUACUUUGUUUCGCCUCCAGCUGCUCUGUAGUUACAUUGUAACCUCGCAAUGAACGGUGGCUUAACUACGUAAAUCUACUUCGCUAUAAGUCAGGUUACUUUGGUGCUGUGCACCUACUUUCCUGUGGCCGCAAGCCUAUUUUUUAUAGUGCCGUGCAGUCAAAAAUAGGCCUCUAGCUAUGUGGAAAUGGGUGCAUAGCACAUGCUAGGCUGCACAGCCGUAAGUCUAUUUGCGACACGGCAUGAGCCUAGUUGUAGGCUAUCCGCGACAAAGGCUAGUUUCGCCCCAUCAAGCGCUUUUGUCAUAAACAAUGCUACUAUACUUUUCAUGCGCUAUAGAUAAGUUUUUGAGCGUGUCGUAAACGGUCUAGGCCUAAAACAUGUGCAAUGACAAGAGCUCUUGAAUGAUGUAUAAACGUAGUUCUAGUUAUUGGUAAAGCGAACGCGUUACUCAUAACGAUGAACACCGUUAGUCCAACGGACUUCUUUCCCCGAAGGGUAUGCCAACGGCUUACCUUUAAACAACCAAGUUGUAUAAACAAACUCGUUGGCUGUCUUCUUCGUCUUCCCCUUUAGUUCCCCUUUAGGGGAUGCUCCCCUUGUCAUCAGUCAUCCCCUUUAGUUCAUCUAGUUCAUCCCCUAAAGGGGAACUAAAGGGGAACCCCUUUAGUUCCCCUUUAGGGGAUGAAUAACAAAAAGNGG